UGGCUCAGUUGGUGGAGCAUGGGACUCUUGAUCUCAGGGUUGUGAGUUCAAGCCCCAC
Molecule: transfer RNA, 58 nt
Organism: Felis catus (domestic cat)
Lineage: Eukaryota; Metazoa; Chordata; Mammalia; Carnivora; Felidae
Rfam family: tRNA
About the family: Transfer RNA (tRNA) molecules are approximately 80 nucleotides in length.
Source: Rfam